This 280-nucleotide ribosomal RNA is filed under the name uncultured bacterium. Its description in RNAcentral is "partial 16S ribosomal RNA". It matches the Rfam family "Bacterial small subunit ribosomal RNA", at positions 28 to 301 of the family's 1533-position model. The record is from RNAcentral.
GACGAACGCUGGCGGCGUGCUUAACACAUGCAAGUCGAGCGGUAAGGCCCUUUCGGGGGUACGACGAGCGGCGAACGGGUGAGUAACACGUGGGUGACCUGCCCUCCAGCUCUGGGAGUAAGCCUGGGAAACGUAGGGUCGUAAUACCGGAUAUGACUCCACGGUGCAUGUCGUGGGGUGGAAAGCCUUGUGCGGCUGAGGAUGGGCCCGGCGGCCUAUCAGCUUGUUGGUGGGGUGGAUGGCCUACCAAGGCGACGACGGGUAGCCGGCCUGAGAGGGC